RNAcentral lists this ribosomal RNA (913 nucleotides) under uncultured bacterium. Its description in RNAcentral is "bacterial SSU rRNA". It matches the Rfam family "Bacterial small subunit ribosomal RNA", at positions 8 to 916 of the family's 1533-position model. The record is from RNAcentral.
AGAGUUUGAUCCUGGCUCAGAACGAACGCUGGCGGCGCGCCUAAUACAUGCAAGUCGAACGAGAAUGUGUAGCAAUACACAUGUACAGUGGCGAACGGGUGAGGACUACAUGGGUAACCUACCCUCGAGUGGGGAAUAACUAGCCGAAAGGUUAGCUAAUACCGCGUACGCUUCCAAGACUGCGGUUUUGGAAGGAAAGCGAUACCGUGGGUAUCGCGCUCUUGGAUGGGCUCAUGCCCUAUCAGCUUGUUGGUGAGGUAACGGCUCACCAAGGCUUCGACGGGUAGCUGAUCUGAGAGGAUGAUCAGCCACACUGGCACUGCGACACGGGCCAGACUCCUACGGGAGGCAGCAGUAAGGAAUAUUGCGCAAUGGGCGAAAGCCUGACGCAGCGACGCCGCGUGGGGGAUGAAGGUCUUCGGAUUGUAAACCCCUUUCGGGAGGGAAGAUGGGCUGGGGUAACCCAUUCGGACGGUACCUCCAGAAGCAGCCACGGCUAACUUCGUGCCAGCAGCCGCGGUAAUACGAAGGUGGCAAGCGUUGUUCGGAUUUACUGGGCGUACAGGGAGCGUAGGCGGUUGGAUAAGCCCUCCGUGAAAUCUCCAGGCUUAACCUGGAAAGUGCAGAGGGGACUGUUCAGCUAGAGGAUGGGAGAGGAGCGCGGAAUUCCCGGUGUAGCGGUGAAAUGCGUAGAGAUCGGGAGGAAGGCCGGUGGCGAAGGCGGCGCUCUGGAACAUUUCUGACGCUGAGGCUCGAAAGCGUGGGGAGCAAACAGGAUUAGAUACCCUGGUAGUCCACGCCUUAAACGAUGGAUACUAAGUGUCGGCGGGUUACCGCCGGUGCCGCAGCUAACGCAGUAAGUAUCCCGCCUGGGAAGUACGGCCGCAAGGUUGAAACUCAAAUGAAUUGACGG